This 54-nucleotide transfer RNA is filed under the name Homopholis fasciata. RNAcentral's name for it is "tRNA-Ser". The record is from RNAcentral. Lineage: Eukaryota; Metazoa; Chordata; Lepidosauria; Squamata; Gekkonidae.
GAGGGGGAACAUGUAGACCUGCUAAGUCCACGUCCCAGGACUGACCCCCUGGCC